CUUCCUGCCUCAGCCUCCCAAAUGUUGGGUGAGCCCUUCCAAUGGGAACAAAAAGAUCUGCUUCUAAGAUCUUCACAUCAGUCCAGGGCUAAGUUGGUUCUGUCAGCCAAGAGCCUCAAUUCCUCAGAUUGGUGUCUCUACUUGGGUGAUUGAGCUUUCCCCCAACAUGGAGGCUAGGUUCCCAAGGGGGAAGCAGAAGUAACCCGGAACAUUGUGUCUUCUACGUUUUACUGGUUGAAGCAGUUAUGGGUCCAACCCAAGUUCAGCACCACCCUCAGGGGAAGAAAUGGUGGAUCACCUGCACAGCAAGGGGUCACAACUGAGACCUCAGUGAUCCCCGGAUGCUGUAAUGCUCCAGGACAAGACCACGCCUGCGGGAGAUGCCAGGGAGGAACCAAAUCUUCAUCUGCGUAGUUCCUCAUUGUUCUCAGAUUUCCACUGCCCCCCAGUCUUUUUACACCUUGUUUAUCCCAAUGUGAAGUACUGAACUCUGCAGUGCACUUGUUACAUCUGUUUCCCCACGUACUGAAUAAAAGGUGCUGCAAGCUAGGGGGCUUUGUCUUUGCUGCCCAGAGCAGCACUGAUCAGAC
This is a long non-coding RNA of Heterocephalus glaber (naked mole-rat), 590 nucleotides long. Lineage: Eukaryota; Metazoa; Chordata; Mammalia; Rodentia; Bathyergidae. The record is from Ensembl.